AUUGAACGCUGGCGGCAUGCCUUACACAUGCAGGUCGAACGGCAGCACGGGGCAACCUGGUGGCGAGUGGCGAACGGGUGAGUAAUGCAUCGGAACGUGCCAUUGAGUGGGGGAUAACGUAGCGAAAGUUGCGCUAAUACCGCAUAUUCUGUGAGCAGGAAAGCAGGGGACCGCAAGGCCUUGCGCUCUUUGAGCGGCCGAUGUCAGAUUAGCUAGUUGGUGAGGUAACGGCUUACCAAGGCGACGAUCUGUAGCGGGUCUGAGAGGAUGAUCCGCCACACUGGAACUGAGACACGGUCCAGACUCCUACGGGAGGCAGCAGUGGGGAAUUUUGGACAAUGGGCGCAAGCCUGAUCCAGCCAUGCCGCGUGAGUGAAGAAGGCCUUCGGG
This 390-nucleotide ribosomal RNA is filed under the name uncultured bacterium. Its description in RNAcentral is "bacterial SSU rRNA". It matches the Rfam family "Bacterial small subunit ribosomal RNA", at positions 30 to 422 of the family's 1533-position model. The record is from RNAcentral.